CGGACGGGUGAGUAACGCGUGAGAAUCUGGCUUUAGGUCUGGGACAACCACUGGAAACGGUGGCUAAUACCGGAUGUGCCCGUAAUUGGGUGAAAGGUUAACUGCCUGAAGAUGAGCUCGCGUCUGAUUAGCUAGUUGGAAGUGUAAUGGACUCCCAAGGCGACGAUCAGUAGCUGGUCUGAGAGGACGAUCAGCCACACUGGGACUGAGACACGGCCCAGACUCCUACGGGAGGCAGCAGUGGGGAAUUUUCCGCAAUGGGCGAAAGCCUGACGGAGCAAUACCGCGUGAGGGAGGAAGGCUCUUGGGUCGUAAACCUCUUUUCUUAGGGAAGAACACAAUGACGGUACCUGAGGAAUAAGCAUCGGCUAACUCCGUGCCAGCAGCCGCGGUAAUACGGAGGAUGCAAGCGUUAUCCGGAAUGAUUGGGCGUAAAGCGUCCGCAGGUGGCAAUGUAAGUCUGCUGUUAAAGAGUCUAGCUCAACUAGAUACAAGCAGUGGAAACUACAUAGCUAGAGUACGUUCGGGGCAGAGGGAAUUCCUGGUGUAGCGGUGAAAUGCGUAGAGAUCAGGAAGAACACCAGUGGCGAAGGCGCUCUGCUAGGCCGUAACUGACACUGAGGGACGAAAGCUAGGGGAGCGAAUGGGAUUAGAUACCCCAGUAGUC
Molecule: ribosomal RNA, 667 nt
Filed under: uncultured cyanobacterium
Lineage: Bacteria; Bacillati; Cyanobacteriota
Description: bacterial SSU rRNA
Rfam family: Bacterial small subunit ribosomal RNA
Source: RNAcentral